CAAGUUUCCUAACUCAACUUGAGUUAUUAUUUUCAAAGCAUGUUAGUGAAUAAUUAUUGAUGAUUAUUCACGUCUUUAUUGAUUAUUGAAAUUCGCACUUUGUGCAAUCGAAUUCCGUUCUACUGCCAUUGAACUGUGAAUUAAAUUAAAGUUCUUCAUUUAUGAACUGUUUAUGGGAUAGAUCUAUGCUAAUUGUAUCAGCUAGAUCAAGCAUGUCUAAAUUUGUUAAAUUAAAUGGGUUUUAAAUAAUUGUUCUUAUUAAUUGAUAUGGUAAGAACUCUUGACUGAG
This 289-nucleotide long non-coding RNA is filed under the name Panax ginseng (ginseng). Its description in RNAcentral is "long non-coding RNA (PGIN_LNC000311)". The record is from RNAcentral. Lineage: Eukaryota; Viridiplantae; Streptophyta; Magnoliopsida; Apiales; Araliaceae.